Molecule: long non-coding RNA, 1081 nt
Filed under: Homo sapiens (human)
Lineage: Eukaryota; Metazoa; Chordata; Mammalia; Primates; Hominidae
Description: HSALNT0286991
Rfam family: 7SK RNA (bases 14-357)
Source: RNAcentral
GAGCGAAUGAAUAGGAUGUGAGGGUGACCUGGCUGCAACAUCUGUCACCCCAUUGAUCAUCAGGGUUUAUUCAGUUGAUCUGGUUGGCUGGGUGGGAGUUCCCUUCCUCCCUCACCACUCCAUAUGCAUCUCUCCCAGAGCUGCAAACUUGGUCGAAGAGAACGACCAUCCCCAACAGAGGAGUACCAGUCUUUGGUCAAACAUAUACGAGUAGCUGUACUCCCUUGCUAGAACCUCCAAACAAGCUCUCAAGAAUAAAUAAGACCUAUUAUUAGAUAGUACAAUGAGGUGACUAAAGUAAAUAACAACUUAAUUGUACAUUUUAAAAUAACUUAAAGAGUGGAAUUGAUUUGUUUGCAACUCAAUGAAUAAAUGCUUGACAAGAUGGAUACUCCAUUUCCUAUGAUAUGAUUAUUUCACACUGCCUGUAUCAAAACAUCUCAUUUACCCCAUAAAUAUGUACACCUACUACGUACCCACAAAAAUUUAAAAAAAAUGGAAAUAAAUAUGUGUAACAGUAGAAUAUACAGAGAAAUCUUACAAACUGAUAUGUAAAAGAUAAACAAUCCAAGAGGAAAAUGGACAAAAAUUAUUAAUGACAAUUCACAAAAAAAGUAAAUUCAAAUCGCCAGUAGAUACAUGAGAAAUAAUCAAAUUAUCCUUGUAAUUAGGAAAUCUAAAUUAAAGUAACAACUAGAUACCAUUACACACCCAUUAGACAGAUAAUAUUUUUUUCGAAAAAUACCCAGUGAUGGUAAAGAUGUAAAGGAUUACAAACCAUUUAGAAAGCAAUCUGGUGAUUUAUACUUAUAUUUAUAUACACAUUUGUGUUUCUAUUCCUAUUUAUGUUUGUACAUGUCUUCGGCCUUCCAACUGAGAUAUAAUAAAGGUAUAAGUAACAGGAUGUUCAUUUCAAUAUUGUUCGUAAAAAACUGAAAACAAGGUAAAUGACCAUUAAUAGAAUGGUUAAAUAACUUAUAAAUAUGCACAUAAUGGGAUAGUAUACAGUCACUCAAAAUAUUGAAAUAAAUCUACACUGCUUAUACCCCUUCAUAUAAAUCUCUCUCAUCAAAACUUUUUC